AUCUUUUUUAACUCAUUGGUGACCUAUAUUUUUUAUUAUUGUUUUCAUAUAAGCUGUACAUAAACUAAAUAAUUGUAAAAGUUAAGCGAUUUAUGUAAUUAGGUUAUUUUUUUAUUUCGAUAUUACCUUUAUUUCUCCUAUUAGUUCAACAGAAAAAAAGGGACAUUAACAAAAAUGUAUGCUUCUUCCGGAGGCUGAUUGUGAGCUUAAAUGAACGGUGACCCCAUUUUUUUAUUUCAUUUUUCUUUUAAGUAUAUGAUAAAGUUCAUUAAUAAAAAAAUAUAGCGAAAUCCUAUAUUAGAAAAAAAAAUUUGAUUUAUACCCAGGAGCCCCCUUAAAACUUAGAAAUUUAAUGAAUUGCUUGAUCAUUUGGAAGAAUCAAAAUUGUAGAGAUUUAAAUACAUACUAUGGAGUGCCUUUUUUCUGGAACAUUCUUUACACGUUUUACCCGGUACAGUGUUUAUUUAUUAAUCAGGAUUAAUUGUGAAAAUGAUUAUUCUCACUGUAAAUAAAUGUAAACAUUUGAUAAAAGUACAUAUUUUACAUUUAUUGUGACACUUUUUUAUCUUGGUAAGUCUGUGCCAUAGCUGUAUAUUUGGCGCUUAGUUCAUCUUGUUAUUUCAUACUGUACAUGUAUAUCAUAUUUUUGAGUUCCCAUAUUGUUCUACUUCCUGAUUGCCAAACAUUAUAUCUCUAGCCAGUGUAUAACUUGUGAGUAAAAGCUCACAGAACAUCUUGUUUAUUUAUUUUAACAAUUUUUAGUUGUGUUGUAAAAUAUUUUUUUUAAUGUAUUCUGAUUACAAGGGAUAACGUUCAAAAUCAAAUAUAUUAUUAUUAUUUGAAUUUUAUGUCCAUCAAAUCUUGUAAACACACUUUCAAAAUUUGGCAAAAUUUAAAAAAGAAAGACAGACUUUUCUCUUCAACCAAUUAAUCAUCAUGUGAACACUUGGUAGCUUAUUGUUGGUUGUUAGUUAAAAGCAAAUAAUAUCUCACUUCAGAUUAAAGUUUUUGGUCAAGGUAGUUUUUAAAGAAAUUGAAGUUCAAUCAACUUGAAACGUAAAAUUGAGAAUGGAAAUGGGGAAUGUGUCAAAGAGCCAAAAACCCAACCAUAGAACAGACAACAGCAAAAGGUCACCAACAGGUCUUCAAUGCAGCGAGAAAUUCUCGACCCAGGAGGCGUCCUUCAGCUGGCCCCAUAACAAAUAUAUAUACCAUUUCAGUGAUAAUGAACGCCAUACUAAUCUCCAAAUUGUACACAAGAAACUAAAAUUAAAAAUAAUACAAGACUAACAAAGGCCAGAGGCUCCUGACUUGGGACAGGUACAAAAUUGCAGCAGGGUUAAAUAUGUUUAUGAGAUCUCAACCCUCCCCUAUACCUCUAGCUAAUGUAGAAAAGUAAAUGCAUAACAAUACACACACUAAAAUUCAGUUCAAGAGAAGUCUGAGUCUGAUGUCAGAAGUAGUACACAUGUUCCCUAUGAUAUGACCUUUCUUAUUUUCAAACUUCAAAUUAAGGCCACGGUUUUUUAAUUUGUUGGUUUACGGAUUUUCUCCAUGAAAAAGUCGGGUCGGUCGGUCGGGAAAAAAAUAAAAAAAAUACCUUUCAAGACAGAAAACUGAUAUGCAAAAUAAAUAUAUAUUUCACCUUUCUAAUAAUAUGUUUGUUAUCCUAUUUUGUCAUCAUUUCUUAAAUUUUAGUUUAAUGAAAUAUUAUUGCUCAGUUGUAAUAAAAAUUGCAUGACAUUGCCUAAUAAUUUCCCGUAAAAAAGGGGGUGCACGGACAAAGACGUAAUUAAAUUUCAUAAAGGAAGACAAAUUCACAUAGCUCUUAAUCAAUUCCAGAAAACUUGGUGAAUAAUGAUCUUCAAGAACGAAAACUGAUAAAGAAAUAAAUGUAAAAGCGUGGUAAGAAAAUAAUUUUCAACACACGCGUCAAAAACGUAAUAGACUCGUCCACUGGAAAAAA
Molecule: long non-coding RNA, 1966 nt
Filed under: Mytilus galloprovincialis (Mediterranean mussel)
Lineage: Eukaryota; Metazoa; Mollusca; Bivalvia; Mytilida; Mytilidae
Source: RNAcentral